Molecule: transfer RNA, 83 nt
Filed under: Moesziomyces antarcticus
Lineage: Eukaryota; Fungi; Basidiomycota; Ustilaginomycetes; Ustilaginales; Ustilaginaceae
Description: Pseudozyma antarctica tRNA
Rfam family: tRNA
About the family: Transfer RNA (tRNA) molecules are approximately 80 nucleotides in length. Their secondary structure includes four short double-helical elements and three loops (D, anti-codon, and T loops).
Source: Rfam by way of RNAcentral
GGGGGUUUAGCUCAGUUGGUAGAGCGUUCGCUUAGCAUCGCCUAAUUUGCGAAAGGUCGCGUGUUCGACUCAUGCAGUCUCCA